This is a long non-coding RNA of Falco peregrinus (peregrine falcon), 587 nucleotides long. RefSeq lists it as uncharacterized. Lineage: Eukaryota; Metazoa; Chordata; Aves; Falconiformes; Falconidae. The record is from RefSeq and is a predicted model, not a curated record. The transcript is spliced from 3 exons.
CAGCGCGGGAGGGACUGACCACAGCACCUGCUCCCUGUCCCCCUGCACUGCUCUGGCAGAGGAGGUAGAGGAAACUGAGAAUGAAGUUAAGCUUGGGAAGAAGGGAAGGACUGAAGAAGCUGGCCAUGCUUGGAAUCUGUAAUGCAGUUGGAGACACAGCCUGACAGACUCGGAGAACUAUUCAACCAAAGGCUGUCAUCACCUGAAUCCCUUCACUGUUUCUGAAUGCGUUGUUGAAACUACUGAACAAGUCAUUGUUGGUCUGUUACUAUAUCCAGAAACUCAGCUUCAUGCACUGUCCUGCCAGACUACUGUUUUUACCGCUUUGUCCCUUGAAAGAUUAGAAGUAUGCUUUCAUGUUUGCUGGCUACUAUCCUCUCUGAUGCAGAUUUACCAUUACAAAAGGCCUCUCUGUCCCCCACUCCAUUUGUCUUAGUUUGGGCAGCCUUUUAGAUCCCUAGAAGUCAGGACUUAGACUGUUAACAUCAAAGGGACUUGUCAUUCUUAGAAAAAAGAGCCUAGAUUCCUUCCUUUGCCACUUCCCAGAUGAUGCCCCUUGCUCAUAUAUGCCUGAGUCUCUGUUUCUG